AGCUUUAUAGUUUAAAAAAAACUAUAAUUUUGUAAAUUAUUAAUAUAAAUCUAAUUUAUUAUUAAAGCUUC
RNAcentral lists this transfer RNA (71 nucleotides) under Cryptopone sauteri. RNAcentral describes it as "tRNA-Thr". Lineage: Eukaryota; Metazoa; Arthropoda; Insecta; Hymenoptera; Formicidae. The record is from RNAcentral.